Molecule: long non-coding RNA, 3594 nt
Organism: Orcinus orca (killer whale)
Lineage: Eukaryota; Metazoa; Chordata; Mammalia; Artiodactyla; Delphinidae
Exons: 3
Source: RefSeq, a predicted model, not a curated record
AUAUACCUGCGCAAACCAAAGAAGGGCUUUGAGACUUACUCAAGAUAAAGCAGGAGCCGGCCGUGCCCUAUGGCAAGACAUGAGGAAAGCAAGGUCUCUGAGAGUUGGAGGACACUUAGUGUCCUAAUACCUUGAAUUUAUGCCUGAGCUGCUAAAUCUUUACAACUGUGGAUUCACUCAAAAACCAAAAGGGUCCAGAAAUAGACCAAAGUAUGGAAACAUACUAUACUUUGGGAAAUGUGGCAUUUCAGGCUGAUGGAAAAAAGCAAGUUAUUCAUUGAGUGAUGGGCAACCCAAUGGCAAUCAGACUUGAACCAAGGCAAUGGAGUGCUACUGAAGGAGCUGAAGAAAAUAAUUUGUAUUCUUGGGCCCUUCAAAUUACCUACAACCUCAACAGACCACCUAAGAGAAUGAAAGUGCUAGAACAAGAAAAAUCCACUUUCUGCUUUUUGACCAAAUCCCUUUAGUGACAAAGCUGUCCAAGAGAGAUCUCAAAAGCCUCAGAGUAGCCUAAAAGCUUGGCGUUCACUCACAGAAGGCCAGCUCUCCCCCCAGUUGCUGCACAGUCCUCAACAGCUCCACUCUGGACACCUUACCUGGAUCAAAGGCUCCUUCUCCACCCCUCUGUGGGGAACUCCUUUUCUCUAACCCUAGGUCUUUUCAAAAAUUCUAACCCAAAUAAAAGAAAAAGCAAUGCCUCGUAUCCCUGCUCAGAAUUGAGGGUAGAUAGUAAGUAAGCUCCCGGCUAUGAGCUCCCUGGACUUGCAGGCACCCUGUGUGAAGGCAGGAGGAAGCAUUUCCUCCGUGGGACACACACAGACUCAACAGAGGAAGGCUCUGCUGCAGGUUAGGGGUGAUGCCAAGUUUAGGACUCAGCCAUGCCAACUCCCUGCCCAUGUCCUUCACAUUAGAGAAAAGAUUGUAAAUGUUGCAGAGCUGCCUUUGGAAUAAACGUGGGACUAGCAAGUCAGGACCCUCUUUUCACAUACCUGCUAGGAAUAUAGGAUCCUUACCUGUACAACCCUCUCAAACAUAUGAGCCAAGGGGAGGUAGGAUAUGGUCACGUCCUCAGAACUGGGCUCAAAAGUAUGCUAUAGAUCAGGAAAUGGAAAGGAGACAACAGUGGAUUAAUGCCAACUUUCUCUUCCAAAGAAGAUUUAAACACUUCUUCUUUCUAGGACUGCUGCAUACAGUUGUACAGGUGUGCACUGUGCCCUAAGGGGUGCCCUAACUGCACUGAGUGCAGAGAUCUGCAGUGACCCUAAAAGAGCAAAACUCUAGACAAAGAUGCACCAGUAUUUGUCCACACUCAGGCCUUCAACCUGUUUCUUCCCCCUCUGCCUCCUCUAACUUUAAAAUCUUACGACAGAUUCCCAUUUUAACGAGGGCCUCCUUUUCAAUUGACCACUGACCUCCACACAUUUGAGAAAAGCAGCAGCAUUUGAAACGAUAUUUUCAUGGGUUAACAUGGCUCCUUUGGGGUCACCUGUAGGAAACAAGAGGUGGAAAGAUCUGUUAAAUGGCUAAUAGGUAGCCUUUGGCAUUGAAAUGAGGAGCUACAUUCGAUUGGUUCUGUUCCAGGGAGCCGAGAGCUUCUCCUGUCACUGUGUUUUUCUUAUGAACAGUGUAUGACUCUGCUUACGAAUGAUUGAUGCCUCCACAGAUUCUACUUCUGACAGCAGCCUUAGCCUUGUGCUACCACACAGGGCAUAGCCACAGUCACAGACAGCAACACAGUCAAAAAGAAAAUCCCAAGUAACCCGCCCCCCUCCCCGUGCUGUUUUCAUGUUGAAGACUUCAGAUCUAACAAUAUUACCUAGCCAUCACUUUAUAAACUGGGCACAGUGGAAUGGAUAUAACUUCUAGAUCAUCAUGGAUCACGUUAAAAUUUAUUGAGCUCUAAUAGCUAGGUAACUACAUACAGGGGAGAAAGAGGACGUGGAGUGAUCUGUGUAGAACUACCACUGGGCUAUCUUGAUUGAGUGAAACCACUCCAGUGAUGUCAACUUGAGAGAGUCUGGGCUGGGGGAGAAAGUUGACUUUCUGAUGCCACCUUUAGGAGCCCUGAAUUCCAUAGCAUGUAAACACCUCCCACCGUGUUCAGUGAAAUUUAUUUGCUUAUGCAUAGGUUUUUCUAUGCAGGCAUCUGUACUCAAAUCUUAGAUUAUAAGCCCCUAUGGAUAGGGCUUAUUGUAGGGUAUUUUUAGCAGCCCACUAGUGGUCAGUGGCUUAAGCCAUGUGUUUGGCUGACCAGGGGCCUCUGGGGCAACUUCCUGGGCACUGACCUGUGGUCCCACUGGUGAAGCAAAUGAUGCUCAGAUCUUCUGGUGCAGGAGGCUGGAGGGGAAAGCACCAGGGCUUAGUCUACCGUGAGCUUUGAAAGUUGAAUAUGGAAAGACUCAAAUUUGGGCAGAAGAAAACUUACCACGGGUUUUUUGAAGUUCUCUUUGCCUAAAUUCUGCAUGAACAGGAAACCAAGAAAGAAAGACAUUAGUUGAGUUGGGAAGACUUAGGACAAAUACAGCCCUCCUUUUCCCUUUUGCUUGAGAACACCUCUGUGGGAAUACAACCAAAAUUCCAACCUGGAUCAGGCCCAGAGGCAACAUUCAGGUACAAUGGAAGCCUUGGGGUAGAGUAUAAGUUUCCUCUAGAGUAUCAACUCAAGAGGGCCGAUCCCAAAUGUCCAAACUUCCCAUCAGACUCCUAUGGUUCAGUCUUCUAGGACCACUGCUAAAUCGUUUUGAAUAAAAUGAACAGUUAACAUUUCAAGGCUUACUACACUUUAUAUUACUGUCCUGAGCACUUUAUUUUCUCUCAUAUAACUCUUUACAACUCCUCUGUGAGGUAAGAACUAUUUCAUCCUCAUUUUACAGAGGGGGAAAGGAAGAUGUGGAGCAACUGGCCCAAGGUCACCUAACUAAUGGGGGUGGAGCUGGAACGUGAACCUAGGAAGCCUGGCUCCAGGACCAUAUCUUUAACUGCCACCUAGCCUCUGCAUUUAUAAAUCCUCUACUUGGAAGUCUGUGCACACUGACCACAGACCUUCCUCACCCACUGAGUUGUCUUAGGGAAAUGAUUCCCAACGCUUCACAGCAUGAGUGUAAUUUACUCUUCUCCUUCCACCCCGGAGAACAACAGCUUGCUCCCUUGUGUAGAAGUCCUGCAAGCUGCCCACAGCAUCAGCCCAGCCUUCCAGCUGUGAGCUGACUUUCAGACCCAUACCUCAGCAUCAAGCAGUGAUAAGAUCUCAACUCCGCAUUUCUCCCCUCUCUUCUUCAGGUCGUCCUCAAAGGGAUCCAUGAGGAUGAUCAAUUUCAGGCCCGGGGUGAGGCCUUUUUCCACAUUCUUAAUCAGGGCCAAUGCCUUUUGGGGCGUGUCACAGAUCACCGUGGCGAUCUCAGCUGAAAGCAGAAAUAGGGCCGGGGGUUACCCUCCUGCUUUGCUGUGUACCCGAUUGUCUUGCAAAGAGGAAGAGAUUCUUGAAAAUUUCAAAGCUACUGGGUCCCCAAAGGAGAUUAUGUCUGUAAAUCAGAUUUGUAAUGUAUAAAAUCUGAAACAUUCCACUGAUAAUAAAUAAGCUUAAUUGAAACAGAA